AGUGAGGAAGGUGGAUAUGUUAAUAGCAUAUUCAUUUGACGUUAGCUGCAGAAGAAGCACCGGCUAACUCCGUGCCAGCAGCCGCGGUAAUACGGAGGGUGCGAGCGUUAAUCGGAAUUACUGGGCGUAAAGCGCAUGCAGGUGGUUUGUUAAGUCAGAUGUGAAAGCCCGGGGCUCAACCUCGGAAUUGCAUUUGAAACUGGCAAACUAGAGUACUGUAGAGGGGGUAGAAUUUCAGGUGUAGCGGUGAAAUGCGUAGAGAUCUGAAGGAAUACCGGUGGCGAAGGCGGCCCCCUGGACAGAUACUGACACUCAGAUGCGAAAGCGUGGGGAGCAAACAGGAUUAGAUACCCUGAUAG
Molecule: ribosomal RNA, 359 nt
Filed under: uncultured bacterium
Lineage: Bacteria
Description: bacterial SSU rRNA
Rfam family: Bacterial small subunit ribosomal RNA
Source: RNAcentral